Molecule: ribosomal RNA, 719 nt
Filed under: Vibrio cholerae
Lineage: Bacteria; Pseudomonadati; Pseudomonadota; Gammaproteobacteria; Vibrionales; Vibrionaceae
Also listed under: 1 other name
Description: partial 23S ribosomal RNA
Rfam family: Bacterial large subunit ribosomal RNA
Source: RNAcentral
GUUUGAUGUUCUAACUUAGACCCAUUAUCUGGGUUGAGGACAGUGCCUGGUGGGUAGUUUGACUGGGGCGGUCUCCUCCCAAAGAGUAACGGAGGAGCACGAAGGUGGGCUAAUCACGGUUGGACAUCGUGAGGUUAGUGCAAUGGCAUAAGCCCGCUUAACUGCGAGAAUGACGGUUCGAGCAGGUGCGAAAGCAGGUCAUAGUGAUCCGGUGGUUCUGUAUGGAAGGGCCAUCGCUCAACGGAUAAAAGGUACUCCGGGGAUAACAGGCUGAUACCGCCCAAGAGUUCAUAUCGACGGCGGUGUUUGGCACCUCGAUGUCGGCUCAUCACAUCCUGGGGCUGAAGUCGGUCCCAAGGGUAUGGCUGUUCGCCAUUUAAAGUGGUACGCGAGCUGGGUUUAGAACGUCGUGAGACAGUUCGGUCCCUAUCUGCCGUGGGCGUUGGAAGAUUGAAGGGGGCUGCUCCUAGUACGAGAGGACCGGAGUGGACGAACCUCUGGUGUUCGGGUUGUGUCGCCAGACGCAUUGCCCGGUAGCUAAGUUCGGAAUUGAUAAGCGCUGAAAGCAUCUAAGCGCGAAGCGAGCCCUGAGAUGAGUCUUCCCUGAUACUUUAAGUAUCCUAAAGGGUUGUUCGAGACUAGAACGUUGAUAGGCAGGGUGUGUAAGCGUUGUGAGGCGUUGAGCUAACCUGUACUAAUUGCCCGUGAGGCUUAACCAU